This is an RNA transcript of Columba livia (rock pigeon), 1510 nucleotides long. It is a transcript of the gene named EEF1A lysine methyltransferase 2, with no coding region annotated. The record is from RefSeq and is a predicted model, not a curated record. NCBI's taxonomy places the organism in Eukaryota, Metazoa, Chordata, Aves, Columbiformes, Columbidae. The transcript has 7 exons.
CCGAGGUGCUUCCGGUUCCGCUUGGGCAUGGCGGUGGCGGGGGAGCGGCUCGGCCGCGCCGCGGGGCCGGGCCCGGGGUGCGGGGAGGAGCCGUUCGGCCCCUCGGUGCUGGGCACCAGAGAGCACUGGGAUGCUGCAUAUGAAAGAGAACUGCAAACUUUUCAAGACAUUGGAGAUGUUGGGGAAAUUUGGUUUGGAGAGGAAAGCAUGGUUCGCAUAAUCAGAUGGCUGGAAAAACAAAAGGUGCCCCUUGACAGCUCCUUGCUUGACAUUGGAACUGGAAAUGGUGUUUUACUGGUUGAACUGGCAAAGUCUGGCUACACAAAUCUCACAGGGAUUGAUUACUCUCCUUCUGCAAUAGAACUUUCAGAGAAAAUAAGAGAGAAAGAAGGGAUGUCUAACAUUAAAUUAAAGGUAGAAGACUUCCUGGCUCCUUCAGCUGAGCUGUCAGGAUUUGAGAUUUGUAUUGACAAGGGGACUUUUGAUGCCAUCAGCCUUAAUCCUGAUAACGCGGCGGGGAAGAGGAAGCAGUACGUGCGAUCUCUCUGCAGCGUAUUGAAACCAGGGGGCUUUUUCCUCAUAACAUCUUGCAACUGGACCAAGGAGGAGCUGUCGAACGAGUUCAGAGAAGGUUGGGUUCUGAAUCUCAUGCCUGAGGCUUGAAACUCAGUGUGGAUCUAGAACAACCGUCCCUUCUGGGGAGCUAAAGUUACUGGGUUUGAAAUUCUGGAGGAGCUGCCAACACCCAAGUUUUGCUUUGGAGGAAGAAUUGGAAACAGUGUAACAGCAUUGGUUUUCCAAAGGAAAAAAGUGAGGCCAUCCAUCUUGGACAAAUUAGAUUAGUUGAGAAAAGUCUGAACUUUAAACCUGAUAGAAAACCUCAGACACGUGUGUAAAUAAAUGCUCUUUGAGUACACAGUCAAAUACUUUGUAUGGAACUCGAAGGGACUAUAAAACAUUGCCCUAGAAACAUUUCAGCUUUGCACAGCGUGCCUGUAAAUUUUGUCCUCGCUACAACCUCACUUGUUCUAGGGAAGCUGCGAGUUUCUAAGUGAGAAAGAAAUAAGGCAUUCUGACUAUGAACCUAAUAUAACUGAAUGAUGUUUGCAUUUGGAAUGGAAAGAUUUAAUUUCUGAAUUGGUGAUCUGUGACUGAUAGAGGUAAAGCUUUUCUACAAAGCAGAAGUCUCACUUCUCUGUUGUGCGGUGUAAUAAGGAACAAGCUUUUGCAGUGGGAAUGCUGCAUCUUCUGUUUUUUUCUUAGGUACAUCAAUGUAAGUGUUAAGGAGCCGUAAAAGCUGUAGCAUUGCAAAAAGAGGACCAGUUUGUGCUUGAAAUUCAGAUUUUCAGAGGUUCUCAGCCUCAUAGAGUUCUGUCUCCACCGAAAUAGCUCAACUCUUUUCCCACAGAGGGAAUGCUUUUAAAAAUCUCACUUGCCUGAAUGUGUGCAUGCUUUGUCAGUUAUUUUCACUGAUCUCAUAAAUACAUAAAGAUGUGAUGUUACAGUCUCA